This 93-nucleotide microRNA precursor is filed under the name Mustela putorius furo (domestic ferret). RNAcentral's name for it is "miRNA (ENSMPUG00000022700.1)". The stretch from base 9 to 86 matches the Rfam family "mir-544 microRNA precursor family". The record is from RNAcentral. Lineage: Eukaryota; Metazoa; Chordata; Mammalia; Carnivora; Mustelidae.
AUAUAUGAAUCACUUCGGGAUCUUGUUAAAAUGCAGGUUCUGAUUCAAGAGAUCUGCAUUUCUAACAAGCUCCGAGGUGAUACCAAUGCUGCU